Physcomitrium patens is the source of this 2548-nucleotide RNA transcript. RefSeq lists it as uncharacterized. Lineage: Eukaryota; Viridiplantae; Streptophyta; Bryopsida; Funariales; Funariaceae. The record is from RefSeq and is a predicted model, not a curated record.
UUUGAUUGAAAAAUCCAUUCACCACACUUGAAGAAGCAGACUUGAAGAAGCAUGUGCAGUAUUGGGUGAUGUGGAAGAGAGUAAUUGUCCACCAUUUUGGUAGUACAAUCUGUGUUUGAAUCCAUCACAUGUCAAUGUUUUGCAAUUUAGGGCUGAGGAGUUUGCAUCCUGUGGGAUACUGGUGAAGACAGCGUUGAAAACCUCCAUACUAAGUUUUCAUCUGGAGUAGGAAAUGAAGAGUUAACUAGCAAAGAAGAGAAUCGAGAUUGUGUGAAGGAAAAUACUACUGUCAUGUGAUUUUUGUAACCCAUGUUGCAAAAACGGCCGAAAACUAAGGCACAAGCGCAAGGGUGCUAGCUGUGAGCUAUGGCGAUCGGACGUAUAACCCUCCAGGUCAGGCCCCAGUGGCCCACGCGAACGCCGAAUGAGCACGCUGAAAUGGGGACAAUCGCGGGCCCAUCAAUCUCAGCAUCUCCUCUAAGCCCCAGUUGCACUCGAUCAGAGAGAUUUCCAUCCAGUUUUGUUUGUUGAUGUAGCGGCGAUGAAGUCCUCUGUUUGCUGCCGAUCGUGCUGGCCUGUGCGUAUGAAGAAGCCUCAGGCGGUUCGAUUGUUUGUUCGAUUUGUUUUAUUUUAUUUUGAUCUGAUGGAUUCUUUAAUACGUCCGUGAGCGAGAUAACUUUUGAUUGAUCAUGUGUAUAGAGCACAAAGCUUGUUGUGGCUGGUAGUGCUGACUUCGGGUAGUCCGUUCGUUUGAGUUCCGAGUCGGUUAGCCUGCUGAGAUUAAUUCAGAAGGAGAAUACUAACUGAGUGAGAAGAAUUCGUGACGAAUUCAUGACAUGAUUGGCGCCGCGCAUGAGCUUUCUGAUCGCCGCAGGAUGGUGAUGUUGGCGAGUCGAGAUUUCCAUGGAACCCCUAUGGCUACAGCUAUGACGGUCUCCCUCUGUUCCAUGGAGUUUCUGGCGCCUUCAAAGUUGAGGAAGGAUAGAAGUCCGGCACCUUCGCGAAAGGUGAAAUAAAUUGGUGCAAGUGCAAAGCUAAUUGGUGGCUAUCUGGACCCGACUGUGGCGGACAGGGAGAAGGAGGAGGCCAUGGAAUAGGGGAGGAUGGUAUUGGACCAUGACGAUUGGCUUCGACAUCGGAGUAGUACCAGACACGGGCGGCAUCUGGCAUCAAUUGUGUCCUCAAGGGUUAUCUUAGCCCUUGGGGUUCCAGUCUUCUCUCUCACAGGCGUGGCAGCUUUUGUCACCUUCUACAAUGAAGCUAUCUCAGCGCAGACCUUUCUCCCUCACAGCCCCCGCACUUGCACUUCUGCUCGUUUUCAGGAAAAAUGCCUCCUACGCGAGCUUCGAUGAAGCCCGGAAGGUGUGGGGCAUGAACGUAAACAGAUCUCAAGACGUGUGCAGGAAAGCCCUAACUUUCAUGGGCUCUUCUGCCGAUGGAUCCAAAUUGCAGAGCUGCUUGCAUUAGGCAGCGACAUCCCCAUACAUGUUGAAGAGCCAUGUGAGUGAGGGUGCAAAUCUGGAGAAAGAAUUGGUAGGUUUACUGGAAGAGCUAGAGCUUGCAUCUCUUUUGGCGGCAUCUCAUCGACCGAAUGACGUGUUGUAAAUCAUGUCGGAGUUUGUAUCUAGCAGCACUAUGACUGAUAUGCAAAGAUCGAGCAUAGACAAAAACUUGACUGAAUUCCAUGACAAUGUUGGUGCAUGUGAGAGGCUUUUUAAAACGCCGAUACCACUGUCGUACACGAGGCUCACUUCAAGAUUCCUGGUCAUAUGGCAUAUAGCGCUGCCAUCAGGGCUGUGGGAUCAGUGCAGAUGGCUCACAAUCCCUGCCGUCUUCUUCAACGCCGCAGCCUUGUUGUGCAUCGAGGAGGUUGGAGUGCUGGUUGAGGAGCCGUUUGCGACGCUUGCUCUUGGGGCAUCUGCGGUACUAUGAAGAACAAUGUAGCAGGUUUGUUGGAGCUCACACGCAGAACGCUAAGAGAAAAAGUUCGGAGAAAAUUGAGUAGCUCUGAGACGAAAUAACUUCAUCUUUUGUUUAUAUUCUAUGGACUUGUCUAGGUCUUUACUGAAGCAUCACUGAAACUGGGUGCCAUUGCUGAUAUGGUUCUGGAGGUGGACAUAGCUAUUGCAAUGCCUAGAACCGGGAUCUAUAUGAAGUUCGAGCAUAAACGAAGGACGCAUCAGCAUCGAUUCGGUAAGCUUGACAGGCAUUCCAUAUCUUGUGAAGAGAUUGAGCUCGCAGCAUUGACACUAUUUCUCGGUACAGGAGAAUUACAGGUCUCUCGAAGGGCAGGAAAACAAAACUCUGGAGUCAAUCGUAGACAGCUUUUCAAGGUUUUGUAUCACAUCCUUCAAUAACCAGCCCAUCUAGGACAAGAUGUAAAUGCAGAUCGAUUGUACAACAUUCCAGCAUGUUCACUGGGGUAGAGCUCGGUGCUGCAAACACGGCACUUGCAGCACCUCUUCAUUGCCUUGUAAAUUAUCCCCGUGGUGGAAAAGAUAAUAAACAGUUCAAUGUCAUAACGUGCAUUGAUUCAUUGUUUUCCAAA